This 201-nucleotide unclassified non-coding RNA is filed under the name plant metagenome. Its description in RNAcentral is "partial contains small subunit ribosomal RNA and internal transcribed spacer 1". The stretch from base 1 to 46 matches the Rfam family "Eukaryotic small subunit ribosomal RNA", at positions 1786 to 1831 of the family's 1831-position model. The record is from RNAcentral.
AAGUCGUAACAAGGUCUCCGUUGGUGAACCAGCGGAGGGAUCAUUACUGAGUCGUAAAAAUCUCCCAACCCAUGUGAAUUUACCUUUGUUGCCUCGGCGGGACCUACCCGGUACCUACCCUGUAGGCUACCUGUAGCCGCGGUGGUACCAUUCAACUCUUCGUUAUUUGAUGGAAUCUGAGCGUCUUAUUAAUAGUCAAAU